Molecule: non-coding RNA, 46 nt
Organism: Fulmarus glacialis (Northern fulmar)
Lineage: Eukaryota; Metazoa; Chordata; Aves; Procellariiformes; Procellariidae
Source: Rfam
GCAAAGGAUUUUUUUAAAUCCAAAGUACAUUGUUAUGGUAUAUGUA